Molecule: ribosomal RNA, 459 nt
Filed under: Pantoea agglomerans
Lineage: Bacteria; Pseudomonadati; Pseudomonadota; Gammaproteobacteria; Enterobacterales; Erwiniaceae
Description: partial 16S ribosomal RNA
Rfam family: Bacterial small subunit ribosomal RNA
Source: RNAcentral
UUGACGCUGGCGGCAGGCCNCACACAUGCAAGUCGAACGGUAGCACUNCNGAGCUUGCUCUCGGGUGACGAGUGGCGGACGGGUGAGUAAUGUCUGGGAAACUGCCUGAUGGAGGGGGAUAACUACUGGAAACGGUAGCUAAUACCGCAUAACGUCGCAAGACCAAAGAGGGGGACCUUCGGGCCUCUUGCCAUCAGAUGUGCCCAGAUGGGAUUAGCUAGUAGGUGGGGUAACGGCUCACCUAGGCGACGAUCCCUAGCUGGUCUGAGAGGAUGACCAGCCACACUGGAACUGAGACACNNUCCAGACUCCUACGGGAGGCAGCAGUGGGGAAUAUUGCACAAUGNGCGCAAGCCUGAUGCAGNCAUGCCNCGUGUAUNAANAAGGCCUUCNGNUUGUAAAGUACUUUCAGCGGGGAGNAAGGUGUUGUGNUUAAUAACCNCACCNAUUGACNUUACC